UGUGACACUGCUGCUCAU
Molecule: unclassified non-coding RNA, 18 nt
Filed under: Mus musculus (house mouse)
Lineage: Eukaryota; Metazoa; Chordata; Mammalia; Rodentia; Muridae
Description: oocyte_clustered_small_RNA12878
Source: RNAcentral